GCACAAGCGGCGGAGCAUGCGGAUUAAUUCGAUGCAACGCGAAGAACCUUACCAAGGCUUGACAUAUACGAGAACGCUGCAGAAAUGUAGAACUCUUUGGACACUCGUAAACAGGUGGUGCAUGGUUGUCGUCAGCUCGUGUCGUGAGAUGUUGGGUUAAGUCCCGCAACGAGCGCAACCCUCGUUCUAUGUUGCCAGCACGUAAUGGUGGGAACUCAUGGGAUACUGCCGGGGUCAACUCGGAGGAAGGUGGGGAUGACGUCAAAUCAUCAUGCCCCUUAUGUCUUGGGCUUCACGCAUGCUACAAUGGCCGGUACAAAGGGCUGCAAUACCGUAAGGUGGAGCGAAUCCCAAAAAGCCGGUCCCAGUUCGGAUUGAGGUCUGCAACUCGACCUCAUGAAGUCGGAGUCGCUAGUAAUCGCAGAUCAGCAACGCUGCGGUGAAUACGUUCCCGGGUCUUGUACACACCGCCCGUCAAGUCAUGAAAGUCGGUAACACCUGAAGCCGGUGGCCCAACCC
This 519-nucleotide ribosomal RNA is filed under the name Microbacterium sp. SzLMWM67. RNAcentral's name for it is "bacterial SSU rRNA". It matches the Rfam family "Bacterial small subunit ribosomal RNA", at positions 923 to 1441 of the family's 1533-position model. The record is from RNAcentral. Lineage: Bacteria; Bacillati; Actinomycetota; Actinomycetes; Micrococcales; Microbacteriaceae.